CUUCCAACUCAUAACAAUAAUCAUCAUUGAUGUCUAUAACAAUAAUACUUAAGAGAUGGAAAUAAACAAUUGUAACUAGUCAAAGCAAAUCACAUUUUUUUACAAGUUUGUGUUGAAAAUUUUAGUCAAAUUUAGUAAAACUAAAGGAGAAAACAUAUUUUGAAAAAUAUGAGUUUUACAUAUCUUGAAGUUACUUAUCACUCUUAAAUAUACACUUUAUUCAAAAACUAGCUUAGAAACUUUAAUUAACGUGAAUGUUGGUAACUCAUAUAUAUCCCCAAUUAAGUUAUAAAUUUCAUUCAGUAGCCCUAAUAUUGACUAAUAUACAUGAUUUAACAAAAAAAAUAUUAAAAAGUCUUUAUAAGUUUAGAGAAAGUAAAAGUUUAUUAAACAUUGACGCACACGACUUCCACGGAGGUCGUCUAGACGACUUCUAGGAAGUCGUCCAUUUAAGUUAGUUUUGCAAUUGAUUUUAACCUAGACGACUUACACGUUAGUCGUCCACCUUUUUUUGAUAAAAAAAAUCGAGACGACUUACAUGUAAGUCGUCUAGGGAAAACGGAUUAGUUUUGCAUUUGACCGAAAUGUGUCAAAAUUUGACUUUUCCUAGACGACUUACAAGUUAGUCGUCCAGUAGAAUUAAAAAAUUAAUAUUUUGUUUUUUUCUAGACGACUAACUUGCAAGUCCUCUCGGGUUAGUUUUGCAAUUGAAUUAUUAAACAAUUUUUUUUUCUAGACGACUUACACGUUAGUCGUCUCGAGUUUUUUUUUUCUAGACGACUUACACGUUAGUCGUCUCGAGUUUUUUUUUCCUAGACAACUAACCUGUAAGUUGUCCAAAAUAAGCAAAGUUUGACCAGAAUCUCGGAAUAAAAUUCUGGACGACUUACAUGUAAGUUGUCAGACGGACGACUUCCGUGUAAGUCGUCUAGAAAAAAUAACUUUUUUGGUAAAUAUUUCAAUUGCAAAACUAACCUGAGACGACUUACAUGUAAGUCGUCUAGAAAAAAAAUAUUAUUUUUUUAAUUUUCUACGGGACGACUACCUUGUAAGUCGUCCCGGAAAAGUCAAAUUUCUGACAUAUUCCGGUCAAAUGCAAAACUAACCCGUUUUCCCGAGACGACUUACAUGUAUGUCGUCUCGAUUUCUUGUUUUUUAUCAAACAAAGGUGGACGACUAACCUGUAACUUGUCUAGAAAAAAUAAAUUAAAAGUCAAUUGCAAAAUUAACAUCUGCAUUGACCAGACGACUUCCAAGUAAGUCGUCUACAGCCAGAAGACUUACCUGUAAGUCGUCCACACGAACAGAUCUAGAAAAAAUCUCAAUUUCAUAGUUUCAACCAGUGAGAUAACGUUUUUAGCACACAUAAGUCUUCUCCAAGCACCCAGAAUCUCAAACAAAAGUGACUCACCAAGAAUCUAAGCUUCAACGGCUCUAUGAACCAUACAAAAUUUAGAAUAAAUUUUUAGGUUUUUUGGAUGAAUAUGGAGAAAAAGUGAAAGAGAUGUUGUUUUUAGUUCAUAAGAAUUGAGAAAGAAAGAGUGUAAAUCAAUUUUUAAGUACAUUAAGAGCUUCAAAUUGGUUGUUCAUGGUUGUUGGUGUAUUGAUGGCAAUGGCAAUACUGUGAAUACUUGAGAAAGACGAGGGUGAUAGAGUAAAAUAUGCAUUUUCGAAAAAAAAGAAAAAAAAAGUGAUCGCAUUUUCGUGAAUAAUCUGAACUUUGGGGAUGAAAGAGGCAAGUCAAAGUUCCAAAAAAAAACAUGAGUUAGUUUUUUGUUUGACUUCAAGUUUUGAGUCACAUUUGCAAAAACUCCAUAAAUUUAUUUGAAAUUUAACAAAUUUAUUAGACGUAAUACUUUAAACUCUUUAUAUUUUCAUCUUUGUUAUAAAUAUUUUUAUCAAAUAUCUUUUUCGACCAUUUAUGUUUGAGAUCAUAUUAAUUUUAAGUAAUAUAUGGAACCUAGAAUUUUAUCGGUGACAUAUAUUUAUAAGAAGUCAUCAUAUUGUUUAUUUUAUUGUUAACUAGGGGUUGGCCCGCCCUACGGACGGGUGAAUUUACACUAAAUUUAUAUUAUAUUAAAAUUCAUUUUAAUUUUAUAAAAGUUUGAAAAUUUACUUUAAAUUGAAAAUAAUAAAUAUAGUUUCUUUUCUAAUUAGAUAUAUAUAUAUAUAUAUAUAUAUAUAUAUAUUUUGUUAACACUUGACCUUUGUUUAUAAAUUUUACGUGUUUGAAUUUUUAUUUGUUAUCAACUAUUUUAUUUUCAGUAUUCAUUUCAGUUAUGUUUCUAAUGGAAAUACGUUAUUUUUUCUUCCAUUUGCUUGCGAUUAUGUUUAGUAUUUUCAUAUAUUUUAAAUGGUGUGGUAAAGUUUUAUUUUUGAUUGUGGUAUAUCUGAAUGUAUUCUAUCCGUGAUUAUGAGUGUCUCUAACAAUGUUCUUAUUUAAAAAUUUACUUUAACUAAAUACUAAAAUCAUAUUACUUUGGGUAAUCUACUAUUCUUAUCUUUUCGAGUCUUUUUUUUGUUUAGUGUUAAUCAGAAAAAGUAUUCUUGUUCUUUAGUUGGACUCUUAGGAAAAAAAAUCCCAAUCUUGAGUUUCUAUAAAGUACAAUUUAAUUUCUAAUGUUAUGUAAGUUUGUAGUUUAAAUCUUAAAGCAAUAUUUCAUAUCAAAGCAGUUAAUAAUAUAUAGAAUCAACUAAAGGAUCAUUUUCUAAUGGAUUUCCCUGAAUGAAUGAAGUUUAAAUACAUAUAAAUUUACGUGUAGAUUUCUUAAUAGUUUUGCCAAUUAGAAUGUAGUUGCAAUUAUAUCUAGUAUGUAACAACACCAUGUUAUUGCAUUAGAAGAACAACAAACAACCGUCCAACGACAUAAACUAAUUUGAAUAGAUUAUGAACUUUGGUUAGAACUUAUUGGUUGACCAAAUUUUCUUUAGAAUCAUCAAACCCAAAAAGUAGAUUUUCAUUCUUUAUACAAAUUUUUUUAUUGUGUACAGUGGACGUGUUUAUAUUUAACCGGAAUGAAAAGAGACAUGGAUAUUUGUAACUUUGGAAAAACAACAAUGAUGUAGAAAUGAAUCUCUUUAAAAUCAUCAAACCCAAAAAAUAGAUUUUCAUUCUUUCAUAUCGAUACAAUUUUUUUUAUUAUGUAGAGUGGACGUGUUUAUCUUUAACCGGAAUGAAAAGAGACAUGGAUGUUUGUAACUCUUGAAAAACAAAAAUGAUGUAGAAAUGAAUAAUUUGAGGGAAAGUACUUUGAAACUACAGUUAAAGACAUCUAGGCCUGAAAGAUAAAACUCUGAUACCAGACUUUAUUUUGCAACAUAUGAAAAGUGAUUUCUCAAAAACAAAAAAAAAAACAAAAAAUGAUGUAGCAAAUCAUUUGAUCGCAUUUAAGAUUUUAUGAGAGCUUUUAUUCUUUGUUAUGUAUCAAGCUAUAAAAUUCUGAAAUUUUAAAAGUGAAACCAUUUGUUUUGAAAGAGAAACAAACAUGCAAACGAAAGUUGGAUGUUAUAAUGUAAGGGAAAAAUGGCAGACAGAAUAAAUGAACCCGGAUCACUCAUUGUUACGAUGAGUAAGACUUCUAAUCAUUGCUUAGAUUUAGAAAAUAAGAUGAUCUAGCUAAAGAAAGAAUAAAUACACAAACCCUUUCGUUUUCUCUUUUCUUUACAUGUAAAUAAUAAAAAUCGUUGUCCAAUCUAUCUUACUUAGUCCCAAACAUCUGUCUAGUUUGUGGAGAUCUUUCAUGUUUCUGAGUUCAUGGACUUCAUGGUAAUUUGAUAAAUGAAAAAAGAAGAAGAAAAAUAGAGAUAAAGAAUAGAGUGAGGUUCUGUCCUUUGAGUUUUGUCUCUUUAGCUUCAAGUUUUAACCUCAAUGGUAGAUGGGUCACCUAUUUUGGCUCAACAGGAUCCAAUUGUCUCACACCGACGGUCAUAGAAGAAGACGGAGAGACUUCAUAAGCAACAGUUUGAGCCACCACUUGUUGUGUAUUUGGGUUUAAUGGAGCACGGAGAGUGGAUCUUUGUGCGUUGGUCAUUCGAGGAGGAUGAUGAUGAUGGAGCUAAUGUGCUGAGCAAUCAAGACCCAAGAGGUUAAGGCGCAACAGGCAUGUCAGCGAGUGAAGAAUAAGAGGUCAUGGAGUGGUCUAUUUUGCAGGCUGACACAAACUUGCAAAUCCCAUGUUGAGCAUAGUGGUUGCAUUGCGCUGUCCCCUGCAAAUGAUAUUAUUUUUAGUAUUCACUUUGUUAUAACAUGCAUAUUAUUGUAUACAGAAAGAAGAAUUAUUUUCAUAAAUCUUUGUCAGAGAUCAUGAGAGAACUACCAACGUACGUAGUUGUUUCAGAGAAA
Long non-coding RNA from Brassica rapa (field mustard), 4342 nucleotides. RefSeq lists it as uncharacterized. Lineage: Eukaryota; Viridiplantae; Streptophyta; Magnoliopsida; Brassicales; Brassicaceae. The record is from RefSeq and is a predicted model, not a curated record.